UAGUUUAAUUAGAAGAUUCCGGUUUUGGGG
RNAcentral lists this transfer RNA (30 nucleotides) under Lepidochelys olivacea (Pacific ridley). RNAcentral describes it as "partial tRNA-Pro". Lineage: Eukaryota; Metazoa; Chordata; Testudines; Cheloniidae. The record is from RNAcentral.